CCGUUGCAAGGCGCCAACCUGCCCAAACUUUCGUAAACGGCAAAAGUUUUCGUGCCAAGACAAGUGGACAACCCCCGGCGCGGCGUCCUUUCCUGGCACCGUCGCAGAGGACGCGGAUAGAGCGAGAGGCGACGAAACACUUCCGUCGCAGAGGACGUGGAUAGAGCGAGAGGCAACGAAACACCUGCAGCUCAUCUUCACCAGGUAAAAAAAGAAGCAGGACAGCAAGUUCCUAGGUGGACACAUGAACUAUCUGCUACACGCCGAGAGAAGCAAUGGCAGGGAUGAUGGCUCUUAUCCAAAACCAAGCAGUGACGCGGCUCAUUCACAUACACCGUCUCUGGCCAAGCUAUCUGCUACCCCAAAAGUAUACAACAUGGCAGCCUACGAGAACCGCCAAAAAUGGCCCUUUUCGCCGACUGCAACAGCACCAAUUAACUAAGCCAAGCUUCCAUUCAGAUCAGCAGCAGCAGCUUCCAGCAGCACUCCACAGUCUCCAUGAGCCCCUCCUGGUCAGGCUGCACCCGAACCACCAGCAGCGAAAACCACUUGCCUUCAUCAUUCCCAUUUCCCGUACAACAUCAUCGCUGUUGCGCCUAAGAAAAUCCCAGUUGCGCCGCAUGCGUAAGCUGGACGGAAAUCGGGUGACAGGACAUGAGAGGCGUCGGUCGUCCUGUGGCAACCGACAAAAUUGAACUUUUUCGGGACCCUGAUACUGCGCCCAGAGGGUUUUAACUAAACGAGUAGCCCCAGGCCGCGUCCGGGAUUCCAGCCUCCAUGAUCACCCACUGGAUAUGACAGCCGCGAAAAAAAAAUGGGCAGAAACAAGUUGUAUCAGUAAGAUAUUUCAUUAUUGCUGUGUCUCCUAAACAAACACCAGUUGCAUAACAGGAACAAAGAAGUAUAGGUCGCAUGGAACGUAGGAAUAAGAUACUCCCAAUUUGUUGACACUGCAGGGAUAGCCGAAGUUUCCAACGAGGGAAUCCAGCCUCUCCAUGAAGCAACACCCUGGACAGCACCAGAAACAUUGGCAGAAACAAGUUGUGUCCCAGGGAUAACUUCAUAAUUGCGUCCUAAACAAAAACCAGUGGCAUACCAGGACGAAGAAGUAUAUAUAGUCCAAGAGAUAACUUCAUAAUUGUGUCCUAAACAACAACCAGUUGCAUACCAGGACAAUGGAGCAUAUGUGACGAAAGAGCGAAUGAGUGGCCCGGAGCGCGGUAUUAAGAUACUCCCAAUCUGCUAUGCGGCGGCACACGGGCGACAUGUAAGAAUAUUCACAUAUUGUCGGGCUCUUCCUGUUUCCGACGUAGGCCCUGCGUAGGAGCUUCCCCUGGACCGAUAUUUAUAUAUAUUGCCAAGUGCAUGCAUGCAUGGACAUGAAUGGCUUGACCUCUUAUUUGGAAUGAGCAGACACUGUCCAAGUGAGAAGGAUCAGACUAUGUAAGAUACCAAUACCGCUAUAUCUGCAGAGGGAUGCAAAAGAGUGGUUUUCUGCGUUACCUGGAAUGAAGCUGCCUAUAAGUAGAUGCUGCACCAUGGAGGAACACUUCAUCCCAUUUCGAUUCUGCGUAAAGAUACUGAGAUUGGACUCUGCUC
RNAcentral lists this long non-coding RNA (1599 nucleotides) under Triticum aestivum (bread wheat). Its description in RNAcentral is "long non-coding RNA (TAES_LNC023283)". The record is from RNAcentral. Lineage: Eukaryota; Viridiplantae; Streptophyta; Magnoliopsida; Poales; Poaceae.